UAUCGGAACGUGCCCAGUCGUGGGGGAUAACGCAGCGAAAGCUGCGCUAAUACCGCAUACGAUCUAUGGAUGAAAGCAGGGGACCGCAAGGCCUUGUGCUCCUGGAGCGGCCGAUAUCUGAUUAGCUAGUUGGUGAGGUAAUGGCUCACCAAGGCGACGAUCAGUAGCUGGUCUGAGAGGACGACCAGCCACACUGGAACUGAGACACGGUCCAGACUCCUACGGGAGGCAGCAGUGGGGAAUUUUGGACAAUGGGCGCAAGCCUGAUCCAGCAAUGCCGCGUGAGUGGAGAAGGCCUUCGGGUUGUAAAGCUCUUUUGUCAGGGAAGAAACGGCGCCGGCUAAUAUCCGGCGCUAAUGACGGUACCUGAAGAAUAAGCACCGGCUAACUACGUGCCAGCAGCCGCGGUAAUACGUAGGGUGCAAGCGUUAAUCGGAAUUACUGGGCGUAAAGCGUGCGCAGGCGGUUUUGUAAGUCUGUCGUGAAAUCCCCGGGCUUAACCUGGGAAUUGCGAUGGAGACUGCAAGGCUAGAAUCUGGCAGAGGGGGGUAGAAUUCCACGUGUAGCAGUGAAAUGCGUAGAGAUGUGGAGGAACACCGAUGGCGAAGGCAGCCCCCUGGGUCAAGAUUGACGCUCAUGCACGAAAGCGUGGGGAGCAAACAGGAUUAGAUACCCUGGUAGUCCACGCCCUAAACGAUGUCUACUAGUUGUCGGGUCUUAAUUGACUUGGUAACGCAGCUAACGCGUGAAGUAGACCGCCUGGGGAGUACGGUCGCAAGAUUAAAACUCAAAGGAAUUGACGGGGACCCGCACAAGCGGUGGAUGAUGUGGAUUAAUUCGAUGCAACGCGAAAAACCUUACCUACCCUUGACAUGGCAGGAACCUUGGAGAGAUCUGGGGGUGCCCGAAAGGGAACCUGCACACAGGUGCUGCAUGGCUGUCGUCAGCUCGUGUCGAAUCUAGAUGC
Molecule: ribosomal RNA, 967 nt
Filed under: uncultured Massilia sp.
Lineage: Bacteria; Pseudomonadati; Pseudomonadota; Betaproteobacteria; Burkholderiales; Oxalobacteraceae
Description: bacterial SSU rRNA
Rfam family: Bacterial small subunit ribosomal RNA
Source: RNAcentral